Molecule: ribosomal RNA, 413 nt
Filed under: uncultured prokaryote
Description: bacterial SSU rRNA
Rfam family: Bacterial small subunit ribosomal RNA
Source: RNAcentral
GUGUCAGCAGCCGCGGUAAUACGUAGGUGGCUAGCGUUGUCCGGAAUCACUGGGCGUAAAGAGCGCGUAGGCGGCUUGCCAGGUCUGGUGUGAAAACCCGGGGCUCAACUCCGGGCCUGCAUCGGAAACCGGCUUGCUAGAGUCUGGGAGAGGAGAGUGGAAUUCCUGGUGUAGCGGUGAAAUGCGUAGAUAUCAGGAGGAACACCGGUAGCGAAGGCGGCUCUCUGGAACAGUACUGACGCUGAGGCGCGAAAGCUAGGGGAGCGAACAGGAUUAGAUACCCUGGUAGUCCUAGCCCUAAACGAUGGACACUAGGUGUUGGAUCCGAGAGGAUUCAGCGCCGAAGCUAACGCGUUAGGCAUCCCGCCUGGGGACUACGGCCGCAAGGCUGAAACUCAAAUGAAUUGACGGGG